RNAcentral lists this ribosomal RNA (406 nucleotides) under uncultured prokaryote. Its description in RNAcentral is "bacterial SSU rRNA". It matches the Rfam family "Bacterial small subunit ribosomal RNA", at positions 355 to 776 of the family's 1533-position model. RNAcentral also lists the same sequence under 2 other names. The record is from RNAcentral.
UGGGGAAUAUUGCACAAUGGGGGAAACCCUGAUGCAGCAACGCCGCGUGAAGGAUGAAGGUUUUCGGAUUGUAAACUUCUUUAGUCAGGGACGAAAAAAUGACGGUACCUGAAGAAUAAGCCACGGCUAACUACGUGCCAGCAGCCGCGGUAAUACGUAGGUGGCGAGCGUUGUCCGGAAUUACUGGGUGUAAAGGGCGUGUAGGCGGGAAUGUAAGUCAGAUGUGAAAUCCCAGGGCUUAACUCUGGAGCUGCAUCUGAAACUAUAUUUCUUGAGUGCCGGAGAGGAAAGCGGAAUUCCUAGUGUAGCGGUGAAAUGCGUAGAUAUUAGGAGGAACACCAGUGGCGAAGGCGGCUUUCUGGACGGUAACUGACGCUGAGGCGCGAAAGCGUGGGGAGCAAACAGG